RNAcentral lists this long non-coding RNA (1365 nucleotides) under Anas platyrhynchos platyrhynchos (common mallard). RNAcentral's name for it is "lncRNA (ENSAPLG00000027120.1)". The record is from RNAcentral. Lineage: Eukaryota; Metazoa; Chordata; Aves; Anseriformes; Anatidae.
AUGUGGGCACCCAGCACCCUACCCCAAGCCCCCCACUGCCACCACGUACCAGCUGCUGGUCUCCGGACGGGGUUGUGGCUCCUGGGGGGGGUCCUGGCCGCCCCCCAGCUCCCAGUGCACCUCUGCUUUUGCUUGCAUGGCCGGCUGGGAGCAGCUGCGGGGCCAGGGCUGCGCCGACGCCUGCCUCUGGACCUGCUCGUAGGAGGGCAGGCUCUUCUCGUAGGCACUGCUGUAGGGAGCCUGCGGGCUGGGGGUGAAGGAGGAGAGGUUUUAGGGCAGGAUCCAGCCCCACAGAGCCGGGGCUCAAUGGGGCUGCCCCCGGUGCUGUGGCCAACACCGGCCGAGAGCAUCCUCGGGGCAGGAUGCCCGUGGGGAUCCGGCUGGAAGCGUUGCACCAGCAGCCAUAGGAAGGUCCAGCCUGGCAUCCCAUGUGGGUCCUGCCCUCCUUUCACCCCUCCCCCUGCUGGAUUUUUGGGUUUGUGCCCCAAAACCUGUGGUUUUCCCCUGUGCCAGCAUGCUUUGACCCUACCUUUGCUGACGGCAGCAUGCAGGCAGCCCUGUGCCCAGCUGGAAACCCUCACCAAAAGCAAUGCCAGGACGUACCAGAGCUUCCCCGGGCUGUCCUUCUCUGUCGGCACCGUGGGUUUGUCAGCCAGGAACCACUCGGCCUCGGGGUGUACGGGGACGAACGUUACCUGGAGGGGAAAAAGGCAGAGCCCAGGGGCUGCACGGGGCGCAGGGGCUCUGCAGGGAUGGGGCCAGCGGCACCCCGGUGCCGGGGAUCCCCGCGGGGGUCCUGGGAGCCCCCCAGCCCCUGAUGUAGAACAGCUCUGUGCCUCCCAGAGCAGCAAAAACGCUUGGAAAAAAGCCUUUUGUGCCAGCUCCAUGUCCCCGGGGAGGGACGCGUGGCUGCCCCGCUGUGCUGGCUGUGCCCUCUGCCAAGGACACUCCGCAGGUCGGGGGGGGGGGGACACCUGGCUUUUCCCAGGCUACCAAACCCCAACACCCCCCACUACAAGUGCUGGGGCUGCUGAAAAGCUCCCCCAAAGCACCCGGAGCCCCUUGAGCUUUUCACCCCCACCCCGUGACAAAUCGCAGCACCCCACAGCAUCCCCGGCCCUCGCGCCCUACCCGCGGGUAGCACUGGCACAUGCUCCAGGUGAUGCCCACGGCGACGAGCAGCACGCCCACGGCGCAGAAGGUGAUGUAGAUCUGGGGCUUCUCCACGCUCAUGAUGAACAUGCCCGUCAUCACCAGGAAGAAGCCCAGCAUGAUGAACCCGUAGCGAAAAGUCUUCUCCUCGGCCAUGGGUGGUGGCGGCGGGGUGGGGGGCCGGGGAGCCCUGGUUCCCCCUGGCCGCGCUGA